Molecule: long non-coding RNA, 973 nt
Organism: Lemur catta (Ring-tailed lemur)
Lineage: Eukaryota; Metazoa; Chordata; Mammalia; Primates; Lemuridae
Exons: 5
Source: RefSeq, a predicted model, not a curated record
GCCUCCUGGAGUGAUAGGAUUACAGGCGUGAGCCACCGUGCCCGGCCUAUUUAAACAUUUUUUGAUAACAUUUUAUUCCUUACAAUGAUUUAAGCAGUGAUUUUUAACAAAAUCUCUAAGGUUUUCCUAAAUUUUAUAACUAACAUGAUUUGAUAUCUCUUACAAUUAAAGAGAUCUCAAAGAGAAUGUUUUCUACAAGACCUUGUAUGAGAAGAGCACCUUAGGAGGGCUCAUCAUUUUAUCAGUUGGGGACUGACUACAAUGGCUUAAACACAUGAGGGUUUAUUGUCUCAUAUAAAGGAAAUUCAGUUCUAUGUAGUCCAGACUGAUAUGGCGGCUCCAUGCACAUCAGAGACCCAGGCUCUUCCUUUCUUCUCCACCAUCCAUAUGGUAGACGACGAUGCUGGAACUCCAGCCAUCGCAUCCAUCUUGCAGUUCUUCUCAGACUGGGCCAUCUUGGAUCCAUUCACUGGGAUCAGACUCAGGAGCCCCCAGCGGUGACUGUCCCUGGGCCCUGUGUGGAGGACAGCCUGUGGGUGGUGCUGCUAAGUCCCUCCCAGACCAGGGGACUUGUGGAAUAGUCACCACAGUCUCUCCUCCAGUCAAGGACAAGCAAGCCAUGAGUAAGGUCUCAUUUCAUCUCGUGGGUAAUUAAAGAGUGGAGAGGCCUGCAGUUCCAGUUCUACAUGUUGGCUCUGGACCACGGCGGGAGCAGAACACUCUGUGUGUUACACUGUGAAGCAGCCACAUAUUUUUGACUGAUGAACAGAUGGACAUAUCCUACUUCUCCUCUUACUUCCCCUGCCUGAUGCAGUGGUCAAGGGCAGCUUGAUGGCACAGUGGCCAAGCUUGUUUCUGAGGAGAUUUGGACUGCCCCUGGACCCGCAGUGUCUUGGGCCACUGGAAGGAGGCAGGCAAGAACAGGAGGAGAUGCAGGAGGUUUCUAAUUAGAAGAGCAUCUAGUGAACCCACC